AUUGAACGCUGGCGGCAGGCCUAACACAUGCAAGUCGAGCGGAAGAAGGGAGCUUGCUCCUGGAUUCAGCGGCGGACGGGUGAGUAAUGCCUAGGAAUCUGCCUGGUAGGGGGGGAUAACGUCCGGAAACGGGCGCUAAUACCGCAUACGUCCUGAGGGAGAAAGUGGGGGAUCUUCGGACCUCACGCUAUCAGAUGAGCCUAGGUCGGAUUAGCUAGUUGGUGGGGUAAAGGCCUACCAAGGCGACGAUCCGUAACUGGUCUGAGAGGAUGAUCAGUCACACUGGAACUGAGACACGGUCCAGACUCCUACGGGAGGCAGCAGUGGGGAAUAUUGGACAAUGGGCGAAAGCCUGAUCCAGCCAUGCCGCGUGUGUGAAGAAGGUCUUCGGAUUGUAAAGCACUUUAAGUUGGGAGGAAGGGCAGUAAGUUAAUACCUUGCUGUUUUGACGUUACCAACAGAAUAAGCACCGGCUAACUUCGUG
RNAcentral lists this ribosomal RNA (484 nucleotides) under uncultured bacterium. Its description in RNAcentral is "partial 16S ribosomal RNA". It matches the Rfam family "Bacterial small subunit ribosomal RNA", at positions 30 to 507 of the family's 1533-position model. The record is from RNAcentral.